ACGUUCGUCGGCGGCGGCAAAGCAACGAAAAGAAGCAAAACGAAAACCCAGGCGAGCCAACCUUACCAGCUCGAGGUCAGAAAACUUCCUCUUUCAUUCAACGUGUGUCCAGUGGUGAAGACGUUCUUUUCGUCUCUUCACUACCCAACCCUAAAAUGAGAGCUAAGUGGCGUAAGAAGCGUAUGCGAAGGCUGAAGCGUAAGCGCAGGAAGAUGCGUGCGAGGUCCAAGUAAAUCACUGGAUUCCAAGCGUCUAUCCCUCGGUAUUAAACUAAGGAUAAGGACCCGUACAUGAAUACAAAAAGCGCCCACCUUUGCCUUUGGUUGAAGACGCGUGGAGUCGACUGCCACCCGGAGGAAUUGGAGUCCUCUUCCGCUGGUGUGGCACCUCUUUUGGAAGCCGGUUCCUGCCGUUUGCAUUCAGUGGAGAACUAACUGAAGUGUGUGUUAAUAUUGGACCAUUCGGAGAAAAUAUAGAUACCACGUCACCCCCCGCCGGAUGUUCUUUCGGUGAAGCGACUGAAGCUGACGGGCGAUGAUGGGAGCAAAAAUUAA
This is a long non-coding RNA of Aedes aegypti (yellow fever mosquito), 554 nucleotides long. RefSeq lists it as uncharacterized. The record is from RefSeq and is a predicted model, not a curated record. The transcript is spliced from 3 exons. Lineage: Eukaryota; Metazoa; Arthropoda; Insecta; Diptera; Culicidae.